CCCUAGGGAGGAGCUUGGCUCUCGGCGGCGGGCGGCGGGCACGGCGACAGCCUGCUCCGGUGGAUCUGGCGACGCGUCCUCGGGAAGGCCGAAUCCGCCGCCCUAGGGGCUCUCGGCGGCAGGCGGCGGGCACGGCGACGGCCUGCGGCGGCGGAUCCGGUGGCGCCGUCGCAGAGGCGGAGGACAACGGCACGUCAGAGGCGGAGGACCCAUCGGCCAGGCCGGCAGCGAGACGGUGGCGGAGCUGCGGAGGCGGGCCGGCGUGGAUGGGGUCGGUGGAGGUGGCGGCGACCUGGUACGGUGGCGGGAGGGAGUCAAUGCGAGGGGGUUCAGGCGAGGCUAGCGGCGUGGCUCGCACCGCGGCGGCUCCUCUCCUCCAGCGGCAAGGUGCUCGGCGAGGAGGAGAAGGCUGCCGAGAACAUCUACAUCAAGGUGGAGAUAACAUGCAGAGGGAGACAGCUCCUCCCGAUCCUGACAUUGCAGCAUGUCCGUGACAUCAUGCUGCUAAGCUCACUUGGAAGAUCUUGGUCAUGCGACAUCUGGCAUUUUGACAAGAACCUCCAGUGCAUAGGACUGUGGCUUACCUCUGGGCUGUGGCAGCAUCCACAGAUCUUAUGUGCAGGUGUGCUGGCAGAGGGGAUCGUGUACGUCUUCGAUGAGCGGCGGACAGCGGACGACCUGGAAGUGGCGGUGACUUGGCGACAGGAAUUCGGGGCGGCGCGGGGCGUGGCGGCGAGCGGCGGACAACCUGGACCCGACGGAGACCUGGCGACGGGAGUUCGACGUGGUGGAUGA
RNAcentral lists this long non-coding RNA (795 nucleotides) under Oryza sativa Indica Group (long-grained rice). Its description in RNAcentral is "lncRNA OsLiXu_12g0010310". The record is from RNAcentral. Lineage: Eukaryota; Viridiplantae; Streptophyta; Magnoliopsida; Poales; Poaceae.